Molecule: ribosomal RNA, 250 nt
Filed under: uncultured Actinomycetales bacterium
Lineage: Bacteria; Bacillati; Actinomycetota; Actinomycetes; Actinomycetales
Description: partial 16S ribosomal RNA
Rfam family: Bacterial small subunit ribosomal RNA
Source: RNAcentral
UGGGGUGCUCGAGUGGCGAACGGGUGAGUAACACGUGAGUAACCUGCCCUUGACUUUGGGAUAACUUCAGGAAACUGGGGCUAAUACCGGAUAGGAGCUCCUGCUGCAUGGUGGGGGUUGGAAAGUUUCGGCGGUUGGGGAUGGACUCGCGGCUUAUCAGCUUGUUGGUGGGGUAGUGGCUUACCAAGGCUUUGACGGGUAGCCGGCCUGAGAGGUUGGUCGGCCACAUUGGGACUGAGAUACGGCCCAG